UGUCAAGGGAUGGGAAUCGAACCCACGACAUUCGCUUACCGGGCAGAUGCCAUGACCACUAGGCUACCCUGGAC
Cordylochernes scorpioides is the source of this 74-nucleotide non-coding RNA. The record is from the annotation of a GenBank genome assembly. NCBI's taxonomy places the organism in Eukaryota, Metazoa, Arthropoda, Arachnida, Pseudoscorpiones, Chernetidae.